UCCAAAGCCCAGGCUGACCCCCCACCCCUUCAACCUUUGCAGCAAUGCUGGCAGCACUAUUUCCCAAAGACAACCUCUGGAUAUGACGCUGAGCACGUGCACUCAACUUCUUCUUUGGUCGACCAUGGCGAGGCCUGUUCUGAGUGGAACCUGUCCUGUUAAACCGCUGUAUGGUCUUGGCCACCGUUCUGCAGCUCAGUGUCAGGGUCUUGACCCAUGAUUUUCUGCGCAGUCUAAUAAGGAUGCUGUUAUUUGGACUCCAAUCUCUAUGAUGACCACCCAUGUCUUUGUCAACUUCAUGCUAAAAGUGCCCAAAGCCCGUGGUGGUGGCAGUGCAUGGAGUUUGUGUGGAAGCAGGAGUGGAUCUAAUCACAGCCUGUGAUAUUCGUCUGUGCACACAGGAUGCCUGGUUUCAGGUGAAGUCGUGUGUUCCCUGAUAGUCAAUGAUUGCUGGAGCUCUGUAAAUAGCAGGUGAGAUUGCAGGCCGGAGUCCCGUCGCUGUCCAGGGAACCAAAGUCAACCUCCCCUACUCCUGAGACCACAGUGUGACAGAGCCUAGACUACAUGGCUACUUGGAACAUGAACAUGUUGCAGACACAGGAUCUUAUGAAGUCAGCGCAGGCAGCCCUGGAAAAGAAGAGUCCGAAAGACGUGCCCUUCUCCAAGCUUUAAAGGAGAAGAUCCAGGGCUGUUGAAGCUGCGGUGGAACUGAGACAUCAUCAUCCACAUAUCUUCAGUUCUUCUUGCUAAGAGAACGAGAAACUCGGACACAACAGUACAUCCUGACCAUUGGUACUGUGUACACAUCAACAUACACACACGUCUCCAUGCUGGACAUCUCAGGAGCUUUCACACAGUGCUAGGAAUAUCCCGGGACAGAGAAACGCACCUUCUAAGUGAGCGAGUUUAGCGUCAACCGGUGAAAUUUGCUGUAGCGUGAACACUUUGCCUCUGUGAGCUUCACUCUCCGUAGGGUUCACUGUAAUUAGACAUAAAAUGUACAUAGUUUAUUUUUCAUGCAUUUAGGAUUUCAUGUUGUGUGUGUGUGUGUGUUUUUUUUUUAUUUUAUUUUUUUUAUUUUUUUUAUUUACUCUUCGAGGAAAAGAAAUGAUCUUUCGAGGCAGCUUCUUCAUCACUACCUGCUCCGUUUGACUCAAAAAUGUAACGACCGGUUUCAAAAAGUCACGAUGUCUUCAGUUCAUGAGAUUUUACUGUUGAAUUUAAACAGGAAAUGUGAAAUAUUUUUUCCCUUUGUUUCCUCUACUGUCUUUU
This is a long non-coding RNA of Ictalurus punctatus (channel catfish), 1272 nucleotides long. The record is from Ensembl. NCBI's taxonomy places the organism in Eukaryota, Metazoa, Chordata, Actinopteri, Siluriformes, Ictaluridae.